UUAACUACUAUAUAGUACUCAGACGACACUAAUAUUCAGGGUUUUGGGUCCUCUGGCGGGCGCUUACCAGCCGGGGCCGGUAGUCGGGCCGGAGCCUAACGGCCCGCCAAAGCAACAAAGUAAUAAUAACAUAGGGUGGGAGAUCUACCCGGUAGGGCAUGAACUCUGUAAUGAUCCCUCCGCAGGUUCACCUACGGAGA
Molecule: unclassified non-coding RNA, 200 nt
Filed under: uncultured fungus
Lineage: Eukaryota; Fungi
Description: sequence contains ITS1, 5.8S rRNA gene
Source: RNAcentral